UACGGAAGGUCCGGGCGUUAUCCGGAUUUAUUGGGUUUAAAGGGAGCGUAGGCGGAUGCUUAAGCGUGUCGUGAAAUGCCGCGGCUCAACCGUGGCACUGCGGCGCGAACUGGGUGUCUUGAGUGUGCUGAAAGUAGGCGGAAUUCGUGGUGUAGCGGUGAAAUGCUUAGAUAUCACGAGGAACUCCGAUUGCGAAGGCAGCUUACUGUAUCACAACUGACGCUGAAGCUCGAAGGCGCGGGUAUCGAAC
RNAcentral lists this ribosomal RNA (250 nucleotides) under uncultured prokaryote. Its description in RNAcentral is "partial 16S ribosomal RNA". It matches the Rfam family "Bacterial small subunit ribosomal RNA", at positions 524 to 773 of the family's 1533-position model. The record is from RNAcentral.